UGUGGAGUGAUUGAUUAUAACCCUAUUUGAUUUUGAUGAGCUCAAAGUAUUUGAGUAUAUCUUAUGUUUACUAAUGAAUUCAAUCUAGUGUUUCAGUGAUAUCCUUGUAAAUUUAUGGUUAAGUGUCUCUAGAUUUGGUUCAAGACAAUUUGGAUAAGUUAAGAAGUCAAUAUGAACCAAAGUCUGAGACUCGAGUCGACUCCGGGAUAUUACGAGUCGACUCCAAGCAUAUCAGAAGCACUGGCACAGGCUCGAGUCG
This 259-nucleotide long non-coding RNA is filed under the name Phoenix dactylifera (date palm). RNAcentral's name for it is "long non-coding RNA (PDAC_LNC008487)". The record is from RNAcentral. Lineage: Eukaryota; Viridiplantae; Streptophyta; Magnoliopsida; Arecales; Arecaceae.